RNAcentral lists this unclassified non-coding RNA (346 nucleotides) under soil metagenome. RNAcentral's name for it is "partial contains 5.8S ribosomal RNA, internal transcribed spacer 2, and large subunit ribosomal RNA". The stretch from base 1 to 120 matches the Rfam family "5.8S ribosomal RNA", at positions 35 to 154 of the family's 154-position model. The record is from RNAcentral.
GAUGAAGAACGCAGCGAAAUGCGAUAAGUAAUGUGAAUUGUAGAAUUCAGUGAAUCAUCGAGUCUUUGAACGCACAUUGCGCCCCCUGGUAUUCCGGGGGGCAUGCCUGUCCGAGCGUCAUUGCUGCCCUCAAGCACGGCUUGUGUGUUGGGCCGUCGUCCCCCUCCUAGGGGACGGGCCCGAAAGGCAGCGGCGGCACCGCGUCCGGUCCUCGAGCGUAUGGGGCUUCGUCACCCGCUCCGUAGGCCCGGCCGGCGCUUGCCGACGACCAUCAAUCUCUUUCUCCAGGUUGACCUCGGAUCAGGUAGGGAUACCCGCUGAACUUAAGCAUAUCAAUAAGCGGAGG